AAUAGAUACCCCAGGUAGUCCACGCCGUAAAACGAUGGAUGCUAGCUAUUGGGGGGAAUCGACCCCCUCCGAAGCGAAGCUAACGCGUUAAGCAUCCCGCCUGAGUAGUACGAGCGCAAGCUUAAAACUCAAAGGAAUUGACGGGGACCCGCACAAGCGGUGGAGCGUGUGGUUUAAUUCGAUGGUAAACGAAGAACCUUACCAAGGUUUGACAUCCCGGUAGCCGUUCUCCGAAAGGAGAAUUUCAUUUAGUUGGACCGGUGACAGGUGAUGCAUGGCCGUCGUCAGCUCGUGUCGUGAGAUGUUGGGUUAAGUCCCGCAACGAGCGCAACCCUUAUGAUUUAGUUGGAUUUUUCUAAACAGACUGCCCUGGUAACAGGGAGGAAGGAGGGGAUGAUGUCAGGUCAGUAUUUCCCUUACACCUUGGGCGACACACGCGCUACAAUGGCCGGUACAAUGGGCAGCUAAGCCGCGAGGUGGAGCAAAUCCCAUCAAAGCCGGUCCCAGUUCGGAUUGCAGGCUGAGACCCGCCUGCAUGAAACCGGAAUCGCUAGUAACC
This 559-nucleotide ribosomal RNA is filed under the name uncultured bacterium. Its description in RNAcentral is "bacterial SSU rRNA". It matches the Rfam family "Bacterial small subunit ribosomal RNA", at positions 777 to 1343 of the family's 1533-position model. The record is from RNAcentral.